CGAAAACUGCAAUAACCUUUGC
This 22-nucleotide microRNA is filed under the name Pan troglodytes (chimpanzee). RNAcentral's name for it is "ptr-miR-570". Its record names the gene ptr-miR-570. The record is from miRBase by way of RNAcentral. Lineage: Eukaryota; Metazoa; Chordata; Mammalia; Primates; Hominidae.